Long non-coding RNA from Haliotis rubra (blacklip abalone), 587 nucleotides. RefSeq lists it as uncharacterized. The transcript has 3 exons. NCBI's taxonomy places the organism in Eukaryota, Metazoa, Mollusca, Gastropoda, Lepetellida, Haliotidae. The record is from RefSeq and is a predicted model, not a curated record.
ACCGUAACUGUAAGGCGCCAUCUAACCAAUGUCAUCACGUGACUGGAAAGUGUCCCGACGGCUGUGUCACUGGUUUCACUGGAGAUGACUGUUUACAGAACUGUCCUAGUGGCUAUUAUGGAACUAACUGUUCCCUGAGUGGUGCAGACAGACAUUGUAACAGUUCCGCCUGACCUGCUGAUGGGGCCUGUGGCGCUGCAUGUGAGGCGAGGUGGACACUGCAGAGUUGCACACGAGAGUGUCCCAGGGGGAAGUAUGGCAUCAAUUAUAACGGUAGUGUUGGCAUGUUGAGAUGAAUCUUGUCUGCCACGUGAUAUUCCACACAGAGUGUCCCCGGGGAAAUUGUGGCAUCAACUGUUACUGUAGUGUUGAUAUGUUGAGAUGAAUCUUGUCUGUCAUGUGAUAUUCCACACAGAGUGUUCCAGGGGAAAGUAUGGCAUCAACUGUGACUGUAGUGUUGAUAUGUUGAGAUGAAUCUUGUCUGCCACGUGAUAUUCCACACAAAGUGUUCCAGGGGAAAUUGUGGCAUCAACUGUUACUGUAGUGUUGAUAUUUUGAGAUGAAUCCUGUCUGUCAUGUGAUAUUCC